GACGAACGCUGGCGGCGUGCUUAACACAUGCAAGUCGAACGGAAAGGCCUCUUUCGGGGGGUACUCGAGUGGCGAACGGGUGAGUAACACGUGAGUAACCUGCCCUUGACUUUGGGAUAACUUCAGGAAACUGGGGCUAAUACCGGAUAGGAGCUCCUGCUGCAUGGUGGGGGUUGGAAAGUUUCGGCGGUUGGGGAUGGACUCGCGGCUUAUCAGCUUGUUGGUGGGGUAGUGGCUUACCAAGGCUUUGACGGGUAGCCGGCCUGAGAGGGUGACCGGCCACAUUGGGACUGAGAUACGGCCCAGACUCCUACGGGAGGCAGCAGUGGGGAAUACUGCACAAUGGGUGGAAGCCUGAUGCAGCAACGCCGUGUGCGGGAUGACGGCCUUCGGGUUGUAAACCGCUUUCGCUCAUGACGAAGCCUUGUGUGACGGUAGUGGGUAAAGAAGCACCGGCUAACUACGUG
Molecule: ribosomal RNA, 467 nt
Filed under: uncultured bacterium
Lineage: Bacteria
Description: partial 16S ribosomal RNA
Rfam family: Bacterial small subunit ribosomal RNA
Source: RNAcentral